UUCAGUAGCACGCUCAAGACCCGAAGCGGAGUGAUCUAGCCAUGGGCAGGUUGAAGCGGAGGUAAGACUUCGUGGAGGACCGAACCCACCAGGGUUGAAAACCUGGGGGAUGACCUGUGGUUAGGGGUGAAAGGCCAAUCAAACUCCGUGAUAGCUGGUUCUCCCCGAAAUGCAUUUAGGUGCAGCGUCGUGUGUUUCUUGCCGGAGGUAGAGCACUGGAUAGGCGAUGGGCCCUACCGGGUUACUGACCUUAGCCAAACUCCGAAUGCCGGUAAGUGAGAGCGCGGCAGUGAGACUGUGGGGGAUAAGCUCCAUGGUCGAGAGGGAAACAGCCCAGAGCAUCGACUAAGGCCCCUAAGCGUACGCUAAGUGGGAAAGGAUGUGGAGUCGCAGAGACAACCAGGAGGUUGGCUUAGAAGCAGCCACCCUUGAAAGAGUGCGUAAUAGCUCACUGGUCUAGUGAUUCCGCGCCGACAAUGUAGCGGGGCUCAAGCGUACCGCCGAAGUCGUGUCAUU
Molecule: non-coding RNA, 516 nt
Filed under: Streptomyces sp. 13-12-16
Lineage: Bacteria; Bacillati; Actinomycetota; Actinomycetes; Kitasatosporales; Streptomycetaceae
Description: bacterial LSU rRNA
Rfam family: Bacterial large subunit ribosomal RNA
Source: RNAcentral